GCCCCGGUUUCCGAUGGUGAGGAUAGCAGAUUCCAAACCUGCAAUUGGGUGUUCGAAUCACCCCCGGGGUGCCA
This 74-nucleotide transfer RNA is filed under the name Terriglobia bacterium. RNAcentral describes it as "tRNA-Trp". It matches the Rfam family "tRNA". From Rfam's summary of the family: Transfer RNA (tRNA) molecules are approximately 80 nucleotides in length. Their secondary structure includes four short double-helical elements and three loops (D, anti-codon, and T loops). The record is from RNAcentral. Lineage: Bacteria; Pseudomonadati; Acidobacteriota; Terriglobia.